This is a small nuclear RNA of Jaculus jaculus (lesser Egyptian jerboa), 108 nucleotides long. Lineage: Eukaryota; Metazoa; Chordata; Mammalia; Rodentia; Dipodidae. The record is from RefSeq and is a predicted model, not a curated record.
GUGCUUGCUUCAGCAGCACAUAUACAAAACUUGGAAUGAUACAGCGAAGAUUAGCAUGGCCUCUGCGCCAGGAUGACAUUGCUUAUUUGUGAAGCGUUCCAUAUUAAA